AUAUAUGUGUAUAUACACGUAUGUAUGUGUGUGUGUGUGUGUGUGUGUGUGUGUGUGUAUA
Molecule: microRNA precursor, 61 nt
Filed under: Fukomys damarensis (Damara mole-rat)
Lineage: Eukaryota; Metazoa; Chordata; Mammalia; Rodentia; Bathyergidae
Description: miRNA (ENSFDAG00000020631.1)
Source: RNAcentral